This 29-nucleotide non-coding RNA is filed under the name Homo sapiens (human). The record is from RNAcentral. Lineage: Eukaryota; Metazoa; Chordata; Mammalia; Primates; Hominidae.
GGUGUAGCCGCUAUGGAGAAACUUCCAAC